Molecule: ribosomal RNA, 314 nt
Filed under: uncultured bacterium
Lineage: Bacteria
Description: partial 16S ribosomal RNA
Rfam family: Bacterial small subunit ribosomal RNA
Source: RNAcentral
GUAUAAGAGACAGCAGUAGCCGCGGGAAUACAGAGGGUGCGAGCGUUAAUCGGAUUUACUGGGCGUAAAGCGUGCGUAGGCGGCUUCUUAAGUCGGAUGUGAAAUCCCUGAGCUUAACUUAGGAAUUGCAUUCGAUACUGGGAAGCUAGAGUAUGGGAGAGGAUGGUAGAAUUCCAGGUGUAGCGGUGAAAUGCGUAGAGAUCUGGAGGAAUACCGAUGGCGAAGGCAGCCAUCUGGCCUAAUACUGACGCUGAGGUACGAAAGCAUGGGGAGCAAACAGGAUUAGAUACCCGUGUAGUCCCUGUCUCUUAUAC